This 1082-nucleotide ribosomal RNA is filed under the name bacterium R13-5. Its description in RNAcentral is "bacterial SSU rRNA". It matches the Rfam family "Bacterial small subunit ribosomal RNA", at positions 68 to 1161 of the family's 1533-position model. The record is from RNAcentral.
GGGGCGCGGGCUAAUCUGCAGUCGACGAAGUCUUCGGACUUAUGGUCCGAUGGGUGAGUAACACGUGGGAACGUGCCUUUAGGUUCGGAAUACCUCUAGGAAACUUGUGCUAAUACCGAAUGUGCCCUUCGGGGGAAAAAUUUAUCGCCUUUAAAGCGUCCCGCGUCUGAUUAGCUAGUUGGGGAGGUUAAGGCUCACCCCGGCCACGAUCAGUAACUGGUCUGAGAGGAUGAUCACCCACGUUGGGACUGAGACACGACCCAAACUCCUACGCGAGGCCACUGUGGGGAAUCUUGCGCACUGACUCAAACCCUGACCCACCCAUGCCGCGCGUCUGAUGAGGGUCUUAGGAUUGUAAAAUUCUUUCACCGGGGACAAUAAUGACUUCACCCGGAAAAAAACCCCCGGCUAACUUCAUGCCAUCAGCCGCGGUAAGACCAAGGCUUGUAGCGUUGCUCGCAAUUACUGGGCGUAAAGGGAGCGUAGGCGGACAUUUAAAUCAGGAGGGAAAUCCCGGGGCUCAACCUCAGAAUUGCCUUUGAUACUGGAUGUCUUGAUUGUGAUAUAAGUAUGUGGAACUCCGAGUGUAGAGGUGAAAUUCGUAGAUAUUCGAAAGAACGCCAGUGGCAAAGGCGACAUACUGUCUCAUUACUGACGCUGAGUGCUCGAAAGCGUGGGAGAGAACACCAGGAUUAGAUACCCUGGUACUCCACUCCGUAUGACGAUGAAUGCUAGAUGUCGGGAUGCAUGCAUUUCAUUGACGCAGCUGACGCAUUACGCCAUCCGCCUGGAGUGCUACGGUCGCAAGAUUAUUCCUCCCAUUAAUUGACGGGCUACCGCACAAGCGGUGCAGCAUGUGGAGUAAUACCGAAGCGACUGCGCACUACCUUACCACCUUUUGACCUGCCUGGACCGCCAGAGAGAUCUGGUUAUUUCUUACGGAGCACUAAGACACAUGACGCUGCAUGGCUGUCGUCUGCUCGUGUCAAGAAAUGAUGCGUUCAACUCCCGCAACCAGCGCGACCCGUCGCCAUUAGUUGCCAUCCAUUCAUCUGUCACUCUAGUGGGACUGACCGCUCGCU